This 307-nucleotide ribosomal RNA is filed under the name uncultured Trebouxiophyceae. Its description in RNAcentral is "bacterial SSU rRNA". It matches the Rfam family "Bacterial small subunit ribosomal RNA", at positions 1 to 330 of the family's 1533-position model. Lineage: Eukaryota; Viridiplantae; Chlorophyta; Trebouxiophyceae. The record is from RNAcentral.
UGAGUUUGAUCCUGGCUCAGGGUGAACGCUGGCGGCAUGCUUUACACAUGCAAGUUGAACGAAUUAAAGUUUUCGAAUUUUAGUUAAGUAGCGAACGGGUGAGUAAAACGUAAGAAUCUAUUUUUAGGUGAGGAAUAACUAAUGGAAACGUUAGCUAAUACCUUAUAAACUGAGAAGUGAAAAACUAAAAAUUGCCUAAAAGUGAGCUUGCGCCUGAUUAGCUUGUUGGUAAGAUAAUCGCUUACCAAAGCGACGAUCAGUAGUUGAUCUAAGAGGAUAAUCAACCACACUGGGACUGAGAUACGGC